UACGUAGGGGGCAAGCGUUGUCCGGAAUCAUUGGGCGUAAAGAGCGCGUAGGCGGUCCGGUAAGUCAGCUGUGAAAGUCAAGGGCUCAACCCUUGAAAGCCGGUUGAUACUGUCGGGCUAGAGUCCGGAAGAGGCGAGUGGAAUUCCCGGUGUAGCGGUGAAAUGCGCAGAUAUCGGGAGGAACACCAAUGGCGAAGGCGACUACCUGGCCUGUUCUUGACGCUGAGGCGCGAAAGCUAGGGGAGCAAACGGG
Molecule: ribosomal RNA, 253 nt
Filed under: uncultured bacterium
Lineage: Bacteria
Description: partial 16S ribosomal RNA
Rfam family: Bacterial small subunit ribosomal RNA
Source: RNAcentral